GAUGAACGCUAGCGGCAGGCUUAAUACAUGCAAGUCAAGGGGGUAGCAAUACAACCGGCGCACGGGUGAGUAACGCGUACACAACAUACCAUAUACUGGAGUAUAGCUUCGGGAAACUGAAGGUAAUCCUCCAUAACAUUGCGAGAAGGCAUCUAAUUGCAAUUAAAGUUUCGACGGUAUAUGAUUGGUGUGCGUUUGAUUAGCUAGUUGGUAGGGUAACGGCCUACCAAGGCGACGAUCAAUAGCUGGCGUGAGAGCGCGACCAGCCACACUGGAACUGAGACACGGUCCAGACUCCUACGGGAGGCAGCAGUAGGGAAUAUUGGACAAUGGGCGAAAGCCUGAUCCAGCCAUGCCGCGUGAUAGAUGAAGGCCCUCUGGGUUGUAAAUAUCUUUUAUCUGGGAAGAAACUCCUCUAUUCUUAGAGGCCUGACGGUACCAGAGGAAUAAGCACCGGCUAACUCCGUGCCAGCAGCCGCGGUAAAGUCGUAACG
Molecule: ribosomal RNA, 494 nt
Filed under: uncultured bacterium
Lineage: Bacteria
Description: bacterial SSU rRNA
Rfam family: Bacterial small subunit ribosomal RNA
Source: RNAcentral